AGAACGAACGCUGGCGGCAGGCUUAACACAUGCAAGUCGAACGGUUGUAGCAAUACAGCAGUGGCGCACGGGUGAGUAACGCGUGGGAACAUGCCCUUCAGUCGGGAAUAACAGCGGGAAACUGCUGCUAAUACCUGAUAUUCCCCCCGGGGGAAAGAUUUAUCGCUGAAGGAUUGGCCCGCGUCAGAUUAGCUAGUUGGUGAGGUAACGGCUCACCAAGGCUCCGAUCUGUAGCUGGUCUGAGAGGACGACCAGCCACACUGGAACUGAGACACGGUCCAGACUCCUACGGGAGGCAGCAGUGGGGAAUAUUGGACAAUGGGCGAAAGCCUGAUCCAGCCAUGCCGCGUGAGUGAUGAAGGCCUUAGGGUUGUAAAGCUCUUUGUCAGGGAAGAUAAUGACGGUACCUGAAGAAUAAGCACCGGCUAACUUCGCGCCAGCAGCCGC
This 447-nucleotide ribosomal RNA is filed under the name uncultured bacterium. Its description in RNAcentral is "SSU rRNA". It matches the Rfam family "Bacterial small subunit ribosomal RNA", at positions 26 to 518 of the family's 1533-position model. The record is from RNAcentral.